Molecule: ribosomal RNA, 490 nt
Filed under: uncultured bacterium
Lineage: Bacteria
Description: partial 16S ribosomal RNA
Rfam family: Bacterial small subunit ribosomal RNA
Source: RNAcentral
AUUGAACGCUGGCGGCAUGCCUUACACAUGCAAGUCGAACGGCAGCAUGAUCUAGCUUGCUAGAUUGAUGGCGAGUGGCGAACGGGUGAGUCAUACAUCGGAACGUGCCCUGUAGUGGGGGAUAACUAGUCGAAAGAUUAGCCAAUACCGCAUACGACCUGAGGGUGAAAGUGGGGGACCGCAAGGCCUCAUGCUAUAGGAGCGGCCGAUGUCUGAUUAGCUAGUUGGUGAGGUAAAGGCUCACCAAGGCGACGAUCAGUAGCUGGUCUGAGAGGACGAUCAGCCACACUGGGACUGAGACACGGCCCAGACUCCUACGGGAGGCAGCAGUGGGGAAUUUUGGACAAUGGGCGAAAGCCUGAUCCAGCAAUGCCGCGUGUGUGAAGAAGGCCUUCGGGUUGUAAAGCACUUUUGUCCGGAAAGAAAUGGCUCUGGUUAAUACCUGGGGUCGAUGACGGUACCGGAAGAAUAAGGACCGGCUAACUACGUG